This 388-nucleotide ribosomal RNA is filed under the name Pristimantis sp. ABAM3286. RNAcentral describes it as "partial large subunit ribosomal RNA". It matches the Rfam family "Bacterial large subunit ribosomal RNA", at positions 1933 to 2579 of the family's 2925-position model. The record is from RNAcentral. Lineage: Eukaryota; Metazoa; Chordata; Amphibia; Anura; Strabomantidae.
GCGGUAUUCUAACCGUGCAAGGUAGCGUAAUCACUUGUCUUCUAAAUAAAGACUAGUAUGAAAGGCACCCCGAAGACUAAGCUGUCUCCUUUCUCCAAUCAGUGAACCUAAUCUCCCCGUGAAGAAGCGGGGAUCCUAUUAUAAGACAAGAAGACCCUAUGGAGCUUAAAACAUUGAUUAUAUGUUUUGGUUGGGGUGACCGCGGAGAAAAACUUAUCCUCCACAGUAAGAUAAGUCACAACUUUAUGCAUCAAUUGAUUAACGAACCAAGUUACCCUAGGGAUAACAGCACAAUCCACUUUGAGAGCCCAUAUCGACAAGUGGGCUUAUGACCUCGAUGUUGGAUCGGGAUAUCCUAGUGGUGCAACCGCUACUAAAGGUUCGUUUG